Molecule: unclassified non-coding RNA, 712 nt
Filed under: Hevea brasiliensis (rubber tree)
Lineage: Eukaryota; Viridiplantae; Streptophyta; Magnoliopsida; Malpighiales; Euphorbiaceae
Source: RNAcentral
AGAAAGGAUAGGAUCUACUCCAGGUUUUUUUUUUUCAAUGUGUUGCAUGCUUAAUAUUUUGGGGAGAAUAAUGAUAAUUUUGUGAUUUUUUGACAUAAACAGAUAUCAGAUUUCUGUUGUGUAUUUUUGUGCUGCUUAUAUGGUAUCAGGAUUUCAAUUGCUUUCCAAUUCGUUCCUGUGUUUGGGGUUAUGAGGUGCUUCCAUGGCCAAAAUUUCGCAUUAAUUAGCAAGAUCGUAAGUUUUAGACACUAAUGAAUGUGGUAAAAUUUUUCAGCUGAGAGAAAAAGAAUCGGAUGAAGGUGCUCCAUCGGUUGUUUUAGGAAGAAGAAGAGAGAGCCCAGGAACUUGGAGCUAGCUGCGUAUUGGACAUGAAGGAAGCAAUCUGGUUAUAUUUCUUCUGCACAUCUCUUGUCAUUUGUAUAUUGAAAAAAAAAAAAAAAGAAAGAGUUAAGCAAUGACAUAUCUUAAAUGCUAAUUGUUAUGCCUCUGAAAAACAAACUUACAUACAUAAUAUUCCUCUGCAUGCUAAGUUCUGACAAUUCUGCAUAUGUUUCGCAACCUUGUUUUGGGAUAGACUUGUGGUUUACCUCAGUUUCUUAAUUGUGUCCUGUACAGUCUUUGAUAUUUAUUUAAUUUUUCGUUGAACAAGAGAACCUAUUCUUUUACACUGAGCACUGAGUUUAUAUUGCAGUUUUUUUUUUUUUUUUUUUUU